Molecule: ribosomal RNA, 226 nt
Filed under: uncultured bacterium
Lineage: Bacteria
Description: partial 16S ribosomal RNA
Rfam family: Bacterial small subunit ribosomal RNA
Source: RNAcentral
GACAGAGGGUGCAAACGUUGCUCGGAAUUACUGGGCGUAAAGGGCGUGUAGGCGGGAAGGCAAGUCGGGCGUGAAAGCCCAGGCUCAACCUGGGAACUGCACUCGAAACUGCCUUUCUUGAGUGCCGGAGAGGAAAGCGGAAUUCCUGGUGUAGAGGUGAAAUUCGUAGAUAUCAGGAGGAACACCAGUGGCGAAGGCGGCUUCCUGGACGGUAAAGCUGACGUCU